AUUGAACGCUGGCGGCAGGCUUAACACAUGCAAGUCGAACGGUAACAUAAAGAAGCUUGCUUCUUUGAUGACGAGUGGCGGACGGGUGAGUAAUGCUUGGGAAUCUAGCUUAUGGAGGGGGAUAACUACGGGAAACUGUAGCUAAUACCGCGUAAUAUCGAAAGAUUAAAGUGUGGGACCUUCGGGCCACAUGCCAUAGGAUGAGCCCAAGUGGGAUUAGGUAGUUGGUGAGGUAAAGGCUCACCAAGCCGACGAUCUCUAGCUGGUCUGAGAGGAUGACCAGCCACACUGGGACUGAGACACGGCCCAGACUCCUACGGGAGGCAGCAGUGGGGAAUAUUGCGCAAUGGGGGCAACCCUGACGCAGCCAUGCCGCGUGAAUGAAGAAGGCCUUCGGGUUGUAAAGUUCUUUCGGUAGCGAGGAAGGCAUUUAGUUUAAUAGACUAGGUGAGUGACGUAA
This 460-nucleotide ribosomal RNA is filed under the name Parahaemophilus parainfluenzae. Its description in RNAcentral is "Haemophilus parainfluenzae bacterial SSU rRNA". It matches the Rfam family "Bacterial small subunit ribosomal RNA", at positions 30 to 477 of the family's 1533-position model. The record is from RNAcentral. Lineage: Bacteria; Pseudomonadati; Pseudomonadota; Gammaproteobacteria; Pasteurellales; Pasteurellaceae.